This 435-nucleotide ribosomal RNA is filed under the name uncultured bacterium. Its description in RNAcentral is "partial 16S ribosomal RNA". It matches the Rfam family "Bacterial small subunit ribosomal RNA", at positions 29 to 507 of the family's 1533-position model. The record is from RNAcentral.
AACGAACGCUGGCGGCAUGCCUAACACAUGCAAGUCGAACGAUUGCCUUCGGGUGAUAGUGGCGCACGGGUGCGUAACGCGUGGGAAUCUGCCCUUAGGUUCGGAAUAACAGCUGGAAACGGCUGCUAAUACCGGAUGAUAUCGCGAGAUCAAAGAUUUAUCGCCUGAGGAUGAGCCCGCGUUGGAUUAGGUAGUUGGUGGGGUAAAGGCCUACCAAGCCGACGAUCCAUAGCUGGUCCGAGAGGAUGAUCAGCCACACUGGGACUGAGACACGGCCCAGACUCCUACGGGAGGCAGCAGUGGGGAAUAUUGGACAAUGGGCGCAAGCCUGAUCCAGCAAUGCCGCGUGAGUGAUGAAGGCCCUAGGGUUGUAAAGCUCUUUUACCCGGGAAGAUAAUGACUGUACCGGGAGAAUAAGCCCCGGCUAACUCCGUG